UACGUAGGGUGCAAGCGUUAAUCGGAAUUACUGGGCGUAAAGCGUGCGCAGGCGGCUAUGCAAGACAGACGUGAAAUCCCCGGGCUUAACCUGGGAAUGGCGUUUGGGACUGGGAGUCUGGAGUGCGGCAGAGGAGACUGGAAUUCCUGGUGUAGCAGUGAAAUGCGUAGAUAUCAGGAGGAACACCGAUGGCGAAGGCAGGUCUCUGGGCUGACACUGACGCUCAUGCACGAAAGCGUGGGGAGCAAACAGG
RNAcentral lists this ribosomal RNA (253 nucleotides) under uncultured bacterium. RNAcentral describes it as "partial 16S ribosomal RNA". It matches the Rfam family "Bacterial small subunit ribosomal RNA", at positions 524 to 776 of the family's 1533-position model. The record is from RNAcentral.